GCUGCGGGACCUGAGGGGGAGGGACUCGGAGGCAGUGGGCGGGCGGGGAGUCGGGCACCAGUGCCACCGGUGUCGGCCCUCCAGAGGCUGUCAGACAUUUCUGGCCCGUGGUUCCUGUGGGAGGUGUUGAGGGAUUGCGAAGAGGAAUCUCCCAAUAAUGAAUUCGGUGUCAGGGAACCCGUACCCCCUCCCCCCAACUACACCUUCUUCCCUGGCAGCCUCUGGCUUCUCUCUACAACAAUGCAGGAUGACAGUUCCCCGAGGACAGCCUGGAAGGGAGCUUGACUUCGCCGCUCUCAGCAUCUACUAGGAUGUAACUGUCUGUGUUCAGCGAGAAGGAGCUUAACCUUCUGCACCACUGAAGGCCCAGCCCAGCCCUGCCCCGCACCAUUCUAGCCUAGCCCAAACAAUCUCCAGCCACAACAGGUUCCCAGUCAGGAUCUUCCUGCUUGACCAACACCUCCAGAGGUCUCACCUUUCUCCUGCCUGCCCGGAGUCCAGGGCUUCUCCAGGCCUCUCCUUAUCUUGCCUGCAGCACUGUGGAUACACAGUAGUUGAGCUCCAUGUCUUGGGGUCGGGUGCUGUGAUGCUCAUUUGGGAUAAAGCUGAAUUUACUGUCCCCAUUUUUCCUGAAUGUGUGCUACAAGGUCUCUGGGUCUCAAGGUCAUGAGUCUGGACUUGGAACCUACAUUGAUUCCUGCCUCAGUUCUUCUCCUUACUGUUUUGUCAGCCUGAACUGGUCACGUUGUCUUUCCAAGUCUUCUAUCUACCCUCUCUGUCAAAGGGGCGUCAACAAUGUGUCCCCUCCGUCCACUCCAGGGUGAAUUGUGAUGCUGUCCUCACCGUUAAUCCUGGAUAUAGUAAAUGCCCAGCAAAUAGCUGCUGUGAAUGGUGUGAUGUUCGUGGGUCUCCCUGCAGGAAUUGCAACUGUAUUGGACUCAUCUUCACAUGAUACAGUGCCAAGCACACAGGAAGCACCACAAAAAGAAGUAAAUAUAUAAAAAGAAAACAGCUAUUAUCAUGACUAUUAUUGCUGUGUUUGGAGCUGCUAAGGUAAAUAAUCUUUGUAGGACCUAGGGCAAAAAUACAAACAGAAGCCCACUCACCAAAUGUCUAUUUCAAUGUUGUAACUCACACUAAUAACCUAUUAAAUAAAAUAUGUUCUAGCCUCCUA
Molecule: non-coding RNA, 1174 nt
Organism: Peromyscus maniculatus bairdii (prairie deer mouse)
Lineage: Eukaryota; Metazoa; Chordata; Mammalia; Rodentia; Cricetidae
Source: RefSeq, a predicted model, not a curated record